This 468-nucleotide ribosomal RNA is filed under the name uncultured bacterium. Its description in RNAcentral is "partial 16S ribosomal RNA". It matches the Rfam family "Bacterial small subunit ribosomal RNA", at positions 28 to 507 of the family's 1533-position model. The record is from RNAcentral.
GACGAACGCUGGCGGCGUGCUUAACACAUGCAAGUCGAACGGAAAGGCCCUGCUUUUGUGGGGUGCUCGAGUGGCGAACGGGUGAGUAACACGUGAGUAACCUGCCCUUGACUUUGGGAUAACUUCAGGAAACUGGGGCUAAUACCGGAUAGGAGCUCCUGCUGCAUGGUGGGGGUUGGAAAGUUUCGGCGGUUGGGGAUGGACUCGCGGCUUAUCAGCUUGUUGGUGGGGUAGUGGCUUACCAAGGCUUUGACGGGUAGCCGGCCUGAGAGGGUGACCGGCGUAAGUGGUACUGUGAGACGGCCCAGACUCCUACGGGCGGCAGCAGUGGGGCAUAUUGCACAAUGGGCGGCAGCCUGACGCAGUCACGCCGCGUGCGGGAUGACGGCCUUCGGGUUGUAAACAGCUUUCGCCUGUGCCGAAGCGUGAGUGACGGUAAUGGGUAAAGAAGCACCGGCUAACUACGUG